Molecule: ribosomal RNA, 515 nt
Filed under: uncultured bacterium
Lineage: Bacteria
Description: partial 16S ribosomal RNA
Rfam family: Bacterial small subunit ribosomal RNA
Source: RNAcentral
GAUGAACGCUGGCGGUGUGCCUAAUACAUGCAAGUCGAGCGAAUGGAUUAAGAGCUUGCUCUUAUGAAGUUAGCGGCGGACGGGUGAGUAACACGUGGGUAACCUGCCCAUAAGACUGGGAUAACUCCGGGAAACCGGGGCUAAUACCGGAUAACAUUUUGAACCGCAUGGUUCGAAAUUGAAAGGCGGCUUCGGCUGUUACUUAUGGAUGGACCCGCGUCGCAUUAGCUAGUUGGUGAGGUAACGGCUCACCAAGGCAACGAUGCGUAGCCGACCUGAGAGGGUGAUCGGCCACACUGGGACUGAGACACGGCCCAGACUCCUACGGGAGGCAGCAGUAGGGAAUCUUCCGCAAUGGACGAAAGCCUGACGGAGCAACGCCGCGUGAGUGAUGAAGGCUUUCGGGUCGUAAAACUCUGUUGUUAGGGAAGAACAAGUGCUAGUUGAAUAAGCUGGCACCUUGACGGUACCUAACCAGAAAGCCACGGCUAACUACGUGCCAGCCGCCGCAGUAA